AGAAUCAACGCUGGCGGCGUGCCUAACACAUGCAAGUCGAACGAGAAAGUGGAGCAAUCCAUGAGUAAAGUGGCGCACGGGUGAGUAACACGUGACUAACCUACCCUUGAGUGGGGGAUAACCUAGGGAAACCUGGGCUAAUACCGCAUAAUACCUUCGGUCAAAGGAGCAAUUCGCUUAAGGAGGGGUCGCGGCCGAUUAGUUAGUUGGCGGGGUAAUGGCCCACAAGACUAUGAUCGGUAU
This 243-nucleotide ribosomal RNA is filed under the name uncultured bacterium. RNAcentral's name for it is "partial small subunit ribosomal RNA". It matches the Rfam family "Bacterial small subunit ribosomal RNA", at positions 26 to 286 of the family's 1533-position model. The record is from RNAcentral.